AGAUCUGAAGGUGAACUUCAAAUCCUUCUGUCUCUCAUUCUUCAGGGACCUGCAGGCUAAUAAGCCAAUUUCUUCUCAUGACCAUGACAAGCAAAAUAGGACAAGCUCAACUGCACAUAUACAUUUCAAGCCUCAGCUGCUAAUAUUCCACUGGCCAAGGCCAAAGGCAAGAAGACAGAAUGAAAGUAUCAACUUUGGAGUUGAACAAAUGGAAUUUCAUGUUUUAGUUUUCAGCCACUUACAAGCUUCAGUUUCCUGUUCCUGAGUUCCCUCCACAGGUAAGAUUAUGAUGGCAGUUACCGCCUUUUAGUAUUGUUAAGAGUGCUACAAAAUGAUGUGAAAUGCAAAACACAGUGACUGCCGUGUAAUAGGCACUCCAUAAAGGACAUGAUUAUGCCUGCUACCCAGAAACUUUGAACUACUCUCUUGAAACUCAUUUUGAAUCCUAGGUGUAGUGCUUUUAUCCUUUGACAGAGAUACUGGCUUUUUAAACAGUCAGAGGUACUUCUAAGAAAUAUCUGGUAAAUAAGAGGGCAAUUAAGGUAGGCGAUACCUGAGGUUGUCUUCUUUCUGAAACUAAAAAGUAUAAUUGUAAAGUAGAAGCUCAUUUUUGUGUUAGUGUAUGUUGGAGGAGGUCAUGGAGAGGACGUGACUGCCAGUUGAUCCUCAAGUUGGGCCCGGCUGAUGGGAGGCUCCGCACCCCUCCUUUGUCCUUGCAAUAUACUUUCCGCCCAGAGUUUCCACAGUGAGAGCCUUCUUCAAGGGCACAGCCUUGAGAGAGCCCUGUGUUGCUGAGACCAGCUGGACAGUAUACGUGACUGAACCCAGUUAAAGCCUCUAUAUAAACUUUGAGAUUCUGUCUGGGGGGUUCGGCGAGAUCUACUUAUUUUAUGGCUGCAAAAACAAGGGUCAUAAGUAAGUUUUCUUGCUUAUUAAACCUGCCACCUACCCAUCUGGAAGUCUGCCUCUUUCUUCAGGCUCUCCUUGCCCUCUGUAUACAGGGGUCAGU
RNAcentral lists this long non-coding RNA (1009 nucleotides) under Delphinapterus leucas (beluga whale). Its description in RNAcentral is "lncRNA (ENSDLEG00000001047.1)". Lineage: Eukaryota; Metazoa; Chordata; Mammalia; Artiodactyla; Monodontidae. The record is from RNAcentral.